Long non-coding RNA from Ziziphus jujuba (common jujube), 5849 nucleotides. RefSeq lists it as uncharacterized. The transcript is spliced from 3 exons. NCBI's taxonomy places the organism in Eukaryota, Viridiplantae, Streptophyta, Magnoliopsida, Rosales, Rhamnaceae. The record is from RefSeq and is a predicted model, not a curated record.
AAAAAAAAGAAGAAGAAGAAGAACUAUCUAAGAGGGUCUGAAUUUUAUCAAAAUUCAAAAUAGUAUUUACUUUUGCAAAGAAAGAAAUUUUUUUUUUUUUGGGUGCAAGGAAAGAUGUACUGGAUUACUAUUUCAAAAUUCAAAUUUUAAUUAUAGCCAUUUGAAAAAAUAUUACCGUUGAACAGAAUAAAAGAUGAAAAUUCAUAAAUAGUUACUAUUUCAGAAUUCAAUUUUGAAUUAGGAUGGUAACGAAGAGGUUGAAAAUCCUUUGAGUGAAAUUUCGUUUCAUGAAGAAGAAAAGGAAGAAAUCCCCGAGUUAACUCAGAGCAACAGAACGAGAUCAGUGCUUGAAAAUGGAAAUGGUUGCUGCGUUUGAAAAAAGCGUCUGGGUGGGCAAUAUUGACGUGGAGUGGAGCGCAUAAACCAAUUUACAAAUGGUCAUUGCUUUCUUUUUGCAGUUCUUCAAUAUUUACUUUUCAUGGAUGCCUUCUAAUUCUUUGAGCUUUGUGUUAUUUAUUUAUUUUUUAUAUUCAUUAUUGCUUCAUGCGCCCUUGCUUGGUUUCCAAAUUUGUGUUCAUUAUUCUUCUUUGAUGCCUUUUGAUUCUUUGAUUUCUGUUUCUAAUUUUGUCUGUCUAUCUUUCUAUUUGUUGUUGGAUGUAUUUUGUUCAAGUCUUUUAAUUUUAUGGUUCUCUUUAUCAGUUUAUUAUACUUAUUCUUCUGUACAGGUAUCGACUUUACUAAUUUUCUGUUGAGAUAAAUUGUUCAAAAUACUGUUGGAUUAUCAGAAUAGAUUUUUGGUAUGUGAAAAAGCAUGCACUUGCCCGAAACUUCUUUCUUCAGUGUAAAACAUGUUGUUAAUGAUUUUUGGACAUUUAUUGAUCAAUUAUAUAUGUCUGCAAUUUGGGCUUCUAUGUUUGGCUGGUGAUCUGAACAACAGAGAAAGAUGGAAAGCCAACAAUAAUAGAGGCAAGUUGACCUUUUCAUUUUGAGGAUGGCAAUUUUUUUGGCGAAUUUGUGUUUCUUUACUCGACAAAUGGUAUGGGUUCAUCAGUUGUGUAGCAUCAAGAAUAUGUUUAUUUUUUUUGUAUACUUCAAUACUAGCUUGAUUUGGGUAUUGUCCUCUCAAGUCAUCAUCGUUAACUUAUGUUAUUAUGUACUGUUAUAGUCUGUUAAUAUGUACUUGUGGCAUUGCUGUAUACUUUUUCUACAUAUUGAAAUUCAUGCAAGUAUUCAUUAUGUAUUUAUUUUAGUGAUGCUAGAAACUGAUUACAUAUUGAAAUUCAUGCAAGCAUUCAUUAUGUAUUUGUUUUGGUGAUGCUAGGAACUGAUUUUCCCAAGAUUUACAUCAAUUUGAAAGAAAGAAAAUGAACGAAGAGGGUAAAAUUUCCUGCAUUAGAUUGUAAUGUCUUUUUCCCCAAAAAAAAAAAAAAAAAAAAAAAAAAAAAAAAAAAAAAAAAACAUGUUGACAGAUUUCACCGUCAUAGAGUGCCAUCAGUCAUUCUUGUAUUUGGUACUGCCUGUGUUGGGUAGUCUACAAUUGCAACCCAACUCGCACGGAGGCUAAAUUUGCCAAAUAUCUUGCAGACAGAUAUGGUAUAUGAGUUGUUGUGCAUGUCGACAGACCACUUCUCAAGAUCUCUAACUCUAGUCAGAACCUUGCUACUAUUCAAAGCUAUGUUAGAACAAUACAUGAGGAAUGAUAAUUGAAUUUUAAACAUGCUUUUCAUUCAAAAUGAAUAGUUAUUGUAGCUCUUAACAGCUUUCUGCCUACUUGAACAAUGUCAAAGUGCUUAUUCUCUACUCAUUUUCGAUUCAAUGCACCAUUGGCAUCCAGUCCUAUAUGGGCACGGGAUUUCACCUCCUUCGAGGAGUUAAUUACUGAAUUUUGUAGGGAAUGCAGUAUUGUCCAUAAAGGUAUCCACUUUACUAAUUUGCUGUUGAGAGAAAAUUUUUAGAUAUUGUUACAUUAUGAUAAUAAAUUUUGAGUAUGUGAAAGCAUGACCAUGUUAAUGAUUUCUGGAAGUUAAUUGAUCGAUUAUAAUUUUGUGUCACGUGGGCUUCUAAAUUUGGCUGGUGAUCUGACGAAACAAUGAAAGUUGGAAAGCCAAUAAUAAUAGAGGUGGAUUGACCUUUUCAUCUUGCUUGAUUGCUGUCGGUCAAAGAAAUAGAUAUUUCUUUCUAUUUCUUCCUUUGCAAUCUCAUUUUUGCUAAUAACAAGGUAAUUAAUCUGUUUUCUAAAUUUUAGAAGAUGAAAGCACUCUGUGGUAGGUCCCUAUAUGUUUGCACUACUUGGUUUUAAUAAGGGUAUCUCCCUAAAUAUCAUCAUGUGAUCUGAUUAUUCUAUCAUGCUUCAUGAAUUGAACUACAGUCUGAGCUUAAUUCAUGAAUUGGAGUAUAAUGAUUAUCAUAAGCUAGAAUAGUCACUUAAGAUUAUUGAUUGCAAGACUUCUCCACCAAGAGGUUGAAUAAUUGUGGCUGUGACUUAUGACCUGUGAGCAUGUGUGGUUUGGUCAGGUGUGAUCAUUGUAGUUGGUUUUCCUUACUUGGGUGAUAUCCUGCUUGGACUUUCAUUUUGUUCUCUUCUGGGUGGUUUGCUUUUGAUUCUAUUUAUUUUUAGAAUAAAUGGGGGUCAAUUUUUUACUCAAGUGUCCAUUAUUAAGUUUUGAGAAAAGUGGUGGAGAUUGAUAUUUUGGGCUUUCCUAAUUAAUAAUGAUAAUAAUUAACUGGUUUCUCUUCUUCUGUGUUUCCUUUUUUCUUGGUAGUUAUGUUGGAUUGUUUGGUUGAUCUAGUGGACUUUGAACUCCAACACAUAAUAGUGGCUUUUUUUUUUUUUUUUUUUUUUUUUAACUUGUCUAGUAAAAGUAAACAGAUUCCCUGCUGCAACAAAUGUUGCAUAGUUUUAUAAGUAGAAGCAGGAUUUCAAGAGCAACCCAAUUAGGCUGUUUUAACUUUUGUUGUUCAAGCAGUAAAUUCUGUAACAUUGAUUAUACAUGUUAUUUACUUGUCUUAAAUAAUUUAUUAUGAGAGUGUUCUGUGCACAUGGUGAAUCUUACUCUGAGAUUGGUUGAUGUCCAUUGUUCCUUUGAUGAUAUAGUUACAGGGAAUUCAUUUGGACCAAGUAUAUAUGAUUAUGAGAAUAAUAAGUCAACAUCUGCCAAGAAAAAAAAAAGUUUAGAAGGCAAAUUCUGCACCAUUGCAACAGAUGACACUGAUUCACUACUGGAAAAUAAUUCUUCAACCGUUCCUGAAAGCCAAGGUGAAGCUAGCAAAUGUACGAAGCAUGGCAGUUUAGAAAAAGAAAUAUUAUCCAACAAGAAGAAAUAAACGUGUCUCAGAAUAUUGAAAGAGUGCAAAUGCACAAUAAUAUGAAGGUUGGUGGACAAAAACUUUUGUAUGUUAGACAUUAGUGUUGUUUCAGAGGUAAAUAACUGUCCUCAUUACUGUUUUCUUGUGGAAGAAAUGACCUUUCAGUAUUGUUUUAUGUUUUGUUCUUUUUUCCACAUUUUUAUUUUCUUUAAUUGACUAUGGAAUUGAAAGUAUUUUUAAAAUCAACUUUUUAAACACUUAUGCGAAUGAGCUUUCUGAUACCUGCCUAUGUUCCUAAAUGUAACAGCCUUUUAAAAACAAAUAAAAAAAUAGGUAAGAGAGUUCCUCAAAGUUGCUGUGUUUCUAAAUGUAAGCAUCUCUCGGGUGUGUAUGAUGAUCUCAUUUGGCACUUGGAUAUCACUUUGGUUUCAUGUCUUAGGUAGUGCCUACAACUUGGGGACAAGACAAGGUUCAUAUGUGCUUGGAAUGGAAAUGGUUGCUGCAUUUGAAAAAGCAUUUGCCUUAGGCAAUAUAUUUACAUGGGGUGGCCACACAAACCAGUUCACAAAUGGCCAUUGCUUUCUUUUGUAGUUCUUCAAUAUUUAUUUUUCAUGGAUGCCUUUUGAUUCUUUGGGCUUUCUGCUAUUUUUCUCUGUACUUUUUGAAUAUUCUUUAUUGCUUCAUGUGCCCUUGCUUGCUUGUCAAAUUUAUAUCAUGUUAUCAUGUGGUAAGGGAGACAUCUGAGCUUACUAAAUGAUAUGAAGUGUGAUUAUUAUUUUUUUAGUGUGACUGCUUUUCAUCACAAAGUAGAAUAGUUACUUUAAAUUUUGUGAGAUUCUCCACCAAGAUGAAUAUGAGCAUGUGUGGUUGGUCAGGUGUGUUCAUUGUAGUUGGUUUUCCUUACUUGGAUGCUAUCCUGCUUGGGCUUUUUGUUUUGUUCUAUUUGGGCGGUUUAGGUUUUUUGGCUCAGUUCCUAAAAUUAGUGAGGUUGAAUUUUAAAAGGAUGACAUCGGUGGAACAAAUGUUGAAUAAUUUUUAUAAGUUAGAGGAUGAAUAUGAGCAUGAGUGGUUGGUCAGGUGUGUUAAUUUUAGUUGGUUUUCCUUACUUGGUUGCUAUCCUGCUUGGACUUUUGUUUAUUUGGGCGGUUUUCAUGUUUUGGCUCAGUUCUUAAAGGCAUGGCUCCUUUAUUAGCCCCCAAAAAAAAAAUUCACAGGUAUGCACCUUUGUGUCUUUUUCAUCUUGUCUGAUGGGUUGUAGUCAGAGAUUUCCAUUAUCAAAGCAUUUUUAGUGUUUUGCAAUUGAAAGAAUUGGUUUAGCUGAGGGGAGCUCAAACUCAGUGGAGAAUGUAAUUAUUAUUUGGUUUUCAUUUCAUAUUUGUUAUUAUUAUUAUUAUUAUUUAGUUUUUCUUAUUCAUGUAUACUUUCUCUAUUAAUAUUUCAAAAUAUAGGUUCAGUGCUUCUUCAAACUUACUUUGAUGUUUUAGUCCAAGCUGUAGUGUUAAGUUAAUAGCCAUAGUAGAUGGCAAAUGGGACAGCUAGACAACUAACUUAGUUCCUCACAUCUUCAACUUAUCAUCAAAUUUAGUGGUUCUUCUUUUUUGUAAUGUUUUGUUGCAUGCCCCUCUGAUAUGGUUGGUUUACUUAAAUCCUGGAAUAUUCAGUGGUAAUGAGAGUCAGAAUGAGUCUAUGGUAAUAAGUCUUUUUAACCUUGAAAUGGGAAAUGUGGUGGAAACACGUAGACCAAUGUAUUUUUGGGUUUGUGAAAUAUUUAAGUUUCAUUUCAUUUUAAGCUUCUUUAAGGCAAUUUUGGUGUAUACUCUGCAUGCCAUGAUUAGCUAUAGAUUCAUGUCAAACAAUUGGAAUUGGAUCAAGCAUGUGGAAAGUGAUCUAGAACUGCAUUUGUGGGUUCAAUGCAAAAAUUGAAUUUAUCUUUUAUGAAAAGGCAAUUUUGCAAAUUAGGAUAUUCAUUCCUUUAAGCAAAAACUUAAAAAAUAAAAAUAAGAAUUCUUUACAUAUUUAUUUUUUAAUUGUCCGUUUCUUCCGUUGCUUUGUUAUUAUCACCUCUCAAUUAUUUUUGAAAAUUUUUAAAUUGAUUCUGGAUAAAUUACUUUUAUUUUUCUCUCUUUCUGAACUAGUUGUGCUAUUACUGCAAUUUCUUUCUCCUGAUAAAUUUGGUUAUUUAACGAGUGCAUUGAGCAAGGAAUUUCAUCAGUGUCCAAUGGCGAUGUUAGGCAGCUUGGGAGGAUUUAGCUUUACAUGCACAGAUAAACUCAAGUCAAGUAUAGUUGGUUUUCAAUUUGAAGCCAUUGCCGAUGCAUCUUUGGAACACGGUCUUCAAGUAUAGUUGGAUUUAUCUUUUCAACAGAAUGGAUUUCAACAUGGUGUUUUUAUUCUUUCUUCCACUUGCAUUAUCUGUUUUUUGUGAGUUUGAUGCUUCAUAAACUAUAACUUUCCAUGUCAAACCAGAUGAUGAACAACGCUUAAAGGUUCCUCCUCAUUGAAAACCCAAUGAAGAAGUUAUAGUAGUUGAUUGGUAACUUUUU